ACAUUUGUGGUCUGGUGGUGAAAACACCAGGUUAGAAACCAGGAGAUGUGAGUUCGAAUCCCACCUUAGGCA
This 72-nucleotide transfer RNA is filed under the name Ophiophagus hannah (king cobra). It matches the Rfam family "tRNA". Rfam says of the family: Transfer RNA (tRNA) molecules are approximately 80 nucleotides in length. Lineage: Eukaryota; Metazoa; Chordata; Lepidosauria; Squamata; Elapidae. The record is from Rfam by way of RNAcentral.